Molecule: RNA transcript, 1525 nt
Organism: Drosophila pseudoobscura
Lineage: Eukaryota; Metazoa; Arthropoda; Insecta; Diptera; Drosophilidae
Exons: 4
Source: RefSeq, a predicted model, not a curated record
UCGUUGGGGAAACAUUCACUUUUUUGGUAGUAGUCGUGUGAGACAGACCUAUUUAUUUCUUGAAAAAUAUGUCUAUUCAAAAUUUUUAGAACAAAAUUGUGGUGGAAACAUAAUUUAAUCUAAUAUUCAAGGAACGCCCUUAGAGAUAUAAUAAAAACCGUUCCCGUAGGAGACAGACUAACAUGAACGAAAGCGUCGUGCGACGCGACCCCGCCUGAAGGAAGCUGACCACGAUCAUGCCGCAGCGAGUGGCGAGUCCGGGCGACGACAGAGUCAGCGAGAGCGUACAGUCGCUGCCACGGUAGUCGGUCGUCGCCUGGUUGGGCGUGUUCUGAACGCCACCAUCGUGAUGGGAGCGAUCGGGCGGCGUGUUAAGGCGAGGUCCGUCAGCAGCACGGGAUGGGCUUCGGUCGGGGUGUGCAACUUGCUGUCCAGCGGUAGCUCGACGAAGUGUUGUUGAUGUGGAGAGUGUGCGACAUCUGAAAGUGGUUGCUCCGUGGUUUGCUCAACAUCUUCGUGCAUCAAAGGUAUUCGGUUGUGUUUCGUUCAGCUUAUUGAACAGCUCGUCCACGGUACCGGGAUUCUACGGGCUUAUUCCAUGACUGGUACUAUAAGUGGUGCUGGCGGGCUGAAUGCAAACACAAACUUAAUUCUUUUAACAGUGUUUAGAAAUCGUUUUCCGAGUUUGUAAAUGUAAACUAUGUUUAGCAACUUCAAAGAGAUGUGGCCGCAACCUGAAUACUAAUAAACCAAAUUAAUACAAAUUGAUCGCUUGUUUACCUAGCAUAGGGGCCUAGUGUUGUGAAAAUGUGUUGUUCUUUCCGAAAGCAGGGGUGCAUUCGGAAUAUUCGAUUAUUUAUGCGACUUACAGCACUUUUGGCCAUAUUUCUGCCUAUCGCCGCAAUUAUCACCACUAAGGGCAUAGAAAACAGCUGAUCCGUCUAUACAAUUUUGACGGUUUAAUAAGCUUAUUCUCGGCUAAUUGCUGGAUUUCGACAGUUUCGCAAGAAUACAAAAGCCGUGUGCCGUGUGUAGCUGUGUGCAACGAUCGACAGGGCAUUGCGUAUUUCGAGCACCAAUUUCUGGCAAAAAGCAACAUGACCGAAAAGAGGCUGAAGGAGAGAAUCCAGAUGAUGUCCUCCGAGGGAGAACGCAUUAUUGUUGAUAGGAAAGUCGCCAAGCGAUUUGUUGGAGAGAGCAGGAUGGGAAAUGAAAUUGAGCAUCUUUACUUUGAGAAUGGAUGAUCCUCAGCCCGAACUCAGCGAUACCCAAGUAAAACAAUGGUACACCCAAUUCUUCGAUGAGGAUCAGGAAAUUCUCUUGGAACUGGCUGAAAUAGCCGAUACCCUGGAAAUAAAGGUGCUUUCCUAUAUAGCACGGCAACGGCUACUAGAUGGUACAACACCUAAGAACAAUUGAAUAACUGCUCACGAGCUUCGAUUUCAAAGUUAAACAUAUGUCUAGUAGUUCCCCUUAACUGUUAAAACGAAGUCACGAAUUAAAUGGUUCUGCAGAUAAUCACAGG